RNAcentral lists this ribosomal RNA (497 nucleotides) under uncultured bacterium. RNAcentral's name for it is "partial 16S ribosomal RNA". It matches the Rfam family "Bacterial small subunit ribosomal RNA", at positions 28 to 507 of the family's 1533-position model. The record is from RNAcentral.
GAUGAACGCUGGCGGCGUGCCUAAUACAUGCAAGUCGAGCGAACGGACGAGAAGCUUGCUUCUCUGAUGUUAGCGGCGGACGGGUGAGUAACACGUGGAUAACCUACCUAUAAGACUGGGAUAACUUCGGGAAACCGGAGCUAAUACCGGAUAAUAUUUUGAACCGCAUGGUUCAAAAGUGAAAGACGGUCUUGCUGUCACUUAUAGAUGGAUCCGCGCUGCAUUAGCUAGUUGGUAAGGUAACGGCUUACCAAGGCAACGAUGCAUAGCCGACCUGAGAGGGUGAUAGGCCACACUGGAAGUGAGACACGGUCCAGACGCCUACGGGAGGCAGCAGUAGGGAAUCUUCCGCAAUGGUCGAAAGCCUGACGGAGCAACGCCGCGUGAGUGAUGAAGGUCUUCGGAUCGUAAAACUCUGUUAUUAGGGAAGAACAGAUGUGUAAGUAACUGUGCACAUCUUGACGGUACCUAAUCAGAAAGCCACGGCUAACUACGUG